RNAcentral lists this long non-coding RNA (334 nucleotides) under Homo sapiens (human). Its description in RNAcentral is "HSALNT0281898". Lineage: Eukaryota; Metazoa; Chordata; Mammalia; Primates; Hominidae. The record is from RNAcentral.
GGUACCUCAGAUGGAAAUGCAGAAAUCACCUGUCUUCUGCGACGCUCACACUGGGAGCUGUAGACCGGAGCUGUUCCUAUUCGGCCAUCUUGGCUCCUCCCCAGGAAAAAAUUUCUUAAAGUUGUUUUCUCCACUUUUCUGAUGCAGAAAAAUCAUUUGACAAAAUUCUACACCCAUUGAUGAUAAAGAACUCUGACCAAACUAGAAAUAGAAGGAAAGUUCUUCAGCCAAAUAAAGAGCUACCACAGGAACAUACAAGGAAAGCUGAGAGAAUCCACAGACCCUCUGAAGGAACUGGAUCGCCACUGCAGGCUCCCUGAGAUGCUGAAAAACU